Molecule: transfer RNA, 71 nt
Filed under: Salmo salar (Atlantic salmon)
Lineage: Eukaryota; Metazoa; Chordata; Actinopteri; Salmoniformes; Salmonidae
Rfam family: tRNA
About the family: Transfer RNA (tRNA) molecules are approximately 80 nucleotides in length. Their secondary structure includes four short double-helical elements and three loops (D, anti-codon, and T loops).
Source: Rfam by way of RNAcentral
GCAUUGGUUGUUCAGUGGUAGAAUUCUCGCCUGCCACGCGGGAGGCCCGGGUUCGAUUCCUGGCCAAUGCA